RNAcentral lists this ribosomal RNA (900 nucleotides) under uncultured bacterium. RNAcentral's name for it is "bacterial SSU rRNA". It matches the Rfam family "Bacterial small subunit ribosomal RNA", at positions 8 to 916 of the family's 1533-position model. The record is from RNAcentral.
AGAGUUUGAUCCUGGCUCAGGAUGAACGCUAGCGGCAGGCUUAACACAUGCAAGUCGAGGGGUAAGGUAGCAAUAUCUGGGACCGGCGCACGGGUGCGUAACGCGUAUGCAAUCUACCUUAUACAGAGGGAUAGCCCAGAGAAAUUUGGAUUAAUACCUCAUAGUAUAAUUGAAUGGCAUCAUUUAAUUAUUAAAGUUCCAACGGUAUAAGAUGAGCAUGCGUCCUAUUAGCUAGAUGGUAAGGUAACGGCUUACCAUGGCUACGAUAGGUAGGGGUCCUGAGAGGGAGAUCCCCCACACUGGUACUGAGACACGGACCAGACUCCUACGGGAGGCAGCAGUGAGGAAUAUUGGACAAUGGGCGCAAGCCUGAUCCAGCCAUGCCGCGUGCAGGAAGACGCAUCUAUGGUGUGUAAACUGCUUUUGUACGGGAAGAAACACUCCUUCGUGAAGGAGCUUGACGGUACCGUAAGAAUAAGGAUCGGCUAACUCCGUGCCAGCAGCCGCGGUAAUACGGAGGAUCCAAGCGUUAUCCGGAAUCAUUGGGUUUAAAGGGUCCGUAGGCGGUUUAAUAAGUCAGUGGUGAAAUCUGGUCGCUCAACGAUCAAACGGCCAUUGAUACUGUUAGACUUGAAUUAUUAGGAAGUAACUAGAAUAUGUAGUGUAGCGGUGAAAUGCUUAGAUAUUACAUGGAAUACCAAUUGCGAAGGCAGGUUACUACUAGUGGAUUGACGCUGAUGGACGAAAGCGUGGGGAGCGAACAGGAUUAGAUACCCUGGUAGUCCACGCCGUAAACGAUGGAUACUAGCUGUUGGGCGCAAGUUCGGUGGCUAAGCGAAAGUGAUAAGUAUCCCACCUGGGGAGUACGUUCGCAAGAAUGAAACUCAAAGGAAUUGACGG